This is a long non-coding RNA of Amphibalanus amphitrite, 1055 nucleotides long. RefSeq lists it as uncharacterized. The transcript has 2 exons. NCBI's taxonomy places the organism in Eukaryota, Metazoa, Arthropoda, Thecostraca, Balanomorpha, Balanidae. The record is from RefSeq and is a predicted model, not a curated record.
CUCUUCUCGAGCAGCGGACGCCGCCAUGACAGUUUUGUCCUUGACAAGUCACAGCGUUACCUGAUGAGUCAAGAGGUUCUGUACCUGAUGUACCUGAUCAAGAGUACCUGAUGAUCCUGCAACACCACCUGAUGGCCAACUCGACGGCAUUGCUGACCCGAAAAGGAGUCUAGCAGCUGAAUGUUCAACUUCUGCCACUGCACUGUUGACUCUGCCUAUAGACAGCAUCUGCACCACGGCCCACAGACGAUCUUCCGUGGGACGGUGUGCUGCGCACCAGUCACCACACUGACGGCGUUCACCUGUGUGCUGCACAACUUUCUGUGAGGUCAGGAGAUCGACACUGACGGCCCCGGACGGUGUGCUCUGAUUGCGCCGAGUGUGCUCCCUCGUGUCCGGGCCUUGAUGCCAAUACCGCACGCGAGGCGGCGCGCGUCCGCCAAGCCCUCACAUACUGCGUCCAAGGUGCAGGUGGUGUUCGGUGACAGUGUGCAGCUUCUGCCGGCCCCGUGGACGGCACCGCAUGUGACCAUGGCAUGUGCAUUCGAUUUUCUGACAUAAGUGCAGUGAAUUCAUUUGUCAUUUUGCUUCUGAAUGCUGUCGCCGCUCGGUAGGGUCGAUUCUGCCAGAGUAAAGAGGUCGCCACGAUCGGCGGCGGUGGGCGGUGCGGCAAGCCGGAGCAAGGCACUCAGCAAUCAGCUGCCGGGAGGUGGCGGCGGCGGCGGCGGCUGACGACUCGGGCCUCGAAAAUCCUGUCGUGUGCGUUGCUGGCUAUUAUGCGUUGUUGGUGUGCGCUGUUUUGCAAGGCCUUUGGAGCGGCAUGUCGAGUUUUGAGUUUUGGACGAAGGAGCCUUGGUGUUUUGUUGGUCUAUUUUCGAUAAAAACGGUCAUGAAGAGUGAGCUGUGUCCAGGCUGAUUUUAAUAUUUCUGUCACAGUAUUGUCACCUUUGACCUAGGCUUGUGUCUUCUUGGGUAUCGGCAUAUUGUGCCACCGUCCUUGCCCCGUGUCCGCGCGUGCUGCAUUUUUAUGUGGUCGCGCGUAUGGUGUCAUAUAC